UGGUAUGUUAGGUUAUAUGUAUAUAUAUUUAAUUAGCAUAAGAUGUUUAAUUAUGGACAUUUGUUAUUUUUGUUGAUUUAUCAUGACAUAAUUACUAAUUGUGUUUAGGGAAUUAUACAACAAACAUACAAGGAGUGCGGGUAUUUUGUGAUGCGCUUUAUGAAGGAGAUAGUUGAGGAUGAUAGUUUAGACAUUGUAGUCAAGGUUAGUUAUUU
This 215-nucleotide long non-coding RNA is filed under the name Panax ginseng (ginseng). RNAcentral's name for it is "long non-coding RNA (PGIN_LNC012701)". The record is from RNAcentral. Lineage: Eukaryota; Viridiplantae; Streptophyta; Magnoliopsida; Apiales; Araliaceae.